RNAcentral lists this ribosomal RNA (253 nucleotides) under uncultured bacterium. Its description in RNAcentral is "partial 16S ribosomal RNA". It matches the Rfam family "Bacterial small subunit ribosomal RNA", at positions 524 to 776 of the family's 1533-position model. The record is from RNAcentral.
UACAGAGGGUGCAAGCGUUAAUCGGAAUUACUGGGCGUAAAGCGUGCGUAGACGGUUAUUUAAGUCAGGUGUGAAAGCCCCGGGCUCAACCUGGGAAUUGCAUUCGAGACUGCAUUGCUGGAGUACGGAAGAGGAGGGCGGAAUUCCCGGUGUAGCGGUGAAAUGCGUAGAUAUCGGGAGGAACAUCAGUGGCGAAGGCGGCCCUCUGGUCCAGUACUGACACUCAAGUGCGAAAGCGUGGGGAGCAAACAGG